GUGGGGAAUAUUGGACAAUGGGCGCAAGCCUGAUCCAGCCAUGCCGCGUGAGUGAUGAAGGCCUUAGGGUUGUAAAGCUCUUUCAGUGGGGACGAUAAUGACGGUACCCACAGAAGAAGCCCCGGCUAACUUCGUGCCAGCAGCCGCGGUAAUACGAAGGGGGCUAGCGUUGUUCGGAUUUACUGGGCGUAAAGCGCACGUAGGCGGAUCGUUAAGUCGGGGGUGAAAUCCUGGAGCUCAACUCCAGAACUGCCUUCGAUACUGGCGAUCUUGAGUCCGGAAGAGGUGAGUGGAACUCCUAGUGUAGAGGUGGAAUUCGUAGAUAUUAGGAAGAACACCAGUGGCGAAGGCGACUACCUGGACUGAUACUGACACUGAGGUGCGAAAGCGUGGGGAGCAAACAGGAUUAGAUACCCGUGUAGUCC
This 425-nucleotide ribosomal RNA is filed under the name uncultured bacterium. RNAcentral's name for it is "partial 16S ribosomal RNA". It matches the Rfam family "Bacterial small subunit ribosomal RNA", at positions 354 to 796 of the family's 1533-position model. The record is from RNAcentral.